UACGAGGGAUGCAAGCGUUAUCCGGAAUUAUUGGGCGUAAAGCGUUUGUAGGCGGGCGAGUGUGUUUAAUGUUAAAUCUUAAAGCUCAACUUUGAAAUUGCGUUAAAAACUGCUUGUCUUGAGUAUGGUAGGGGUAAAGGGAAUUCCCAGUGUAGCGGUGAAAUGCGUAGAUAUUGGGAAGAACACUAAACAGCGAAGGCACUUUACUAGGCUAAUACUGACGCUGAGAAACGAAAGGUAAGGUAGCGAAACGGAUUAGAUACCCGUGUAGUCUUACCCGUAAACUAUGGACACUAAACGGUAAAUUUUUAAUUUACUGUUAAAGCUAACGCGUUAAGUGUCCCGCCUGGGGAGUAUGCUUGCAGAAGUGAAACUCAAAGGAAUUGACGGGGGCCCGCACAAGCGGUGGAGCAUGUGGUUUAAUUCGACGGUACACGAAGAACCUUACCAGGAUUUGACAUGCUAGAUAGUUGCUUGAAAGAGUAACGUGCCGUAAGGAAUCUAGACACAGGUGGUGCAUGGCUGUCGUCAGUUCGUGUUGUGAAAUGUUGGGUUAAGUCCCGCAACGAACGCAACCCUUGUCUUUAGUUAUUUUCUAAAGAGACUGCCUGUAAUAAACAGGAGGAAGGUAAGGAUGAGGUCAAGUCAUCAUGCCCCUUAUGUCCAGGGCUACACACGUGCUACAAUGGGAAAGACAAUGAGCUGCAAAUCUGUAAAUUUAAGCAAAUCUCUUAAACUUUCUCGUAGUUCGGAUUGUGGGCUGCAACUCGCCCACAUGAAGUUGGAAUCGCUAGUAAUCGCCAGUCAGCUAUAUGGCGGUGAAUCCGUUCCCGGGCCU
This 838-nucleotide ribosomal RNA is filed under the name uncultured bacterium. RNAcentral describes it as "bacterial SSU rRNA". It matches the Rfam family "Bacterial small subunit ribosomal RNA", at positions 524 to 1381 of the family's 1533-position model. The record is from RNAcentral.